AUACGGAGGACGCGAGCGUUAUCCGGAUUCAUUGGGUUUAAAGGGUGCGCAGGCGGCCGUGCAAGUCAGCGGUGAAAGCCCGGGGCUCAACCCCGGAAGUGCCGUUGAUACUGCAUGGCUGGAAUGCGGUCGAGGCGGGCGGGACGGGGGGUGGGUCGGGGAAAUGCGUAGAUAUGCCACAGAACGCCGAUAGCGGAGGCAGCUCGCCAGGCCUGCAUUGACGCUCGGGCACGAAAGCGUGGGGAUCGAACAGGAUUAGAUACCCUGGUAGUCCACGCCGUAAACGAUGGGCGCUCGUCGUCGGCGGCAGACAGUCGGCGGCCAAGCGAAAGCGAUAAGCGCCCCACCUGGGGAGUACGGUCGCAAGGCUGAAACUCAAAUGAAUUGACGGGG
Molecule: ribosomal RNA, 393 nt
Filed under: uncultured bacterium
Lineage: Bacteria
Description: partial 16S ribosomal RNA
Rfam family: Bacterial small subunit ribosomal RNA
Source: RNAcentral